RNAcentral lists this ribosomal RNA (377 nucleotides) under uncultured organism. Its description in RNAcentral is "partial 16S ribosomal RNA". It matches the Rfam family "Bacterial small subunit ribosomal RNA", at positions 523 to 896 of the family's 1533-position model. The record is from RNAcentral.
GGGGGGGGGGGGCAAGCGUUGUUCGGAAUUACUGGGCGUAAAGGGCGCGUAGGCGGACGAGACAGUCUUUCGUGAAAUCCCACGGGCUCAACCGUGGAACUGCGGGAGAUACUACUCGUCUUGAGUUCGGGAGAGGAGUGUGGAAUUCCCAGUGUAGCGGUGAAAUGCGUAGAUAUUGGGAGGAACACCGGUGGCGAAGGCGGCACUCUGGACCGAUACUGACGCUGAGGCGCGAAAGCUAGGGGAGCAAACGGGAUUAGAUACCCCGGUAGUCCUAGCUGUAAACGAUGAGCACUUGGUGUAGCGGGUAUCGACCCCUGCUGUGCCGGAGUUAACGCAUUAAGUGCUCCGCCUGGGGAGUACGGUCGCAAAGGCUG